CGACUAUAUUCAUUGGGCCCGGACCAUGUUUAUUUACACUUCGCUACAUAAUCCCUCGGUGCGUCCCCGGAGGACAAGGAAAGUGUUACGGACCAACCAUAUUUUGUUUUUCCAGGAUUUACUUUGUGUUUUUAUGUGUGUAUGUGCAAACAUGAGUGUGCCUGAUACUACCUGAAGGCAGAAGACAGUGUCAGACCUCCUGGAAUUGCUCUUAUAGAUGGUUGUGAACGACAUGUAAGGUCUCAUGUAGCACAGAGUAUCCAUGGACUUGCCCCAUCAUACUGUUCUGGUGAUCAAACCCAAGGCCACCUGAGCACCUUCCCAGACAUCUUGCCAUCUCCAACCCCCACCAGACUAGAGAUCAAGACCAAGGCCUGGUGUCCCCAGGUACCUAGUAUGACAACCCACUGCAUCCAUCUGUUCAUUGAACCAGUGACUACAGAAGAAUGAAUUAUUUCCACAUUUGGCACAGUUGUCCAACUACAGUAUGAGUACUCUGCCUGAAUGUAUGCCUGCAUGCCAGAAGAGGGCAUCAGAUUUCAUUACAGAUGGUCAUGAGCUGCCUUGUGGUUGCCAGGAAUUGAACUCAGGACCUCUGGAAGAGCAGCCAGUGCUCCAACCCCAUGCUAACCACCCUUUAAUACAAGUCCUCAUGCUGUGGUGAUCCCCAACCAUAAAAUAAUUUUUGUUGCUACUC
Molecule: long non-coding RNA, 697 nt
Organism: Phodopus roborovskii (desert hamster)
Lineage: Eukaryota; Metazoa; Chordata; Mammalia; Rodentia; Cricetidae
Exons: 4
Source: RefSeq, a predicted model, not a curated record